GUCUGCCGCCAGGCCACCCUGAACAAGCCCGAUCUGAUCUCGGAAGCUAAACAGGGUCAGGCCUGGUUAGUACUUGGAUGGGAGACCACCUAGGAAGACCAGGUGCUGUAGGCA
Molecule: ribosomal RNA, 114 nt
Filed under: Pteropus alecto (black flying fox)
Lineage: Eukaryota; Metazoa; Chordata; Mammalia; Chiroptera; Pteropodidae
Also listed under: 1 other name
Source: RNAcentral